This 460-nucleotide ribosomal RNA is filed under the name uncultured bacterium. RNAcentral's name for it is "partial 16S ribosomal RNA". It matches the Rfam family "Bacterial small subunit ribosomal RNA", at positions 338 to 795 of the family's 1533-position model. The record is from RNAcentral.
CCUACGGGUGGCAGCAGUGAGGAAUAUUGGUCAAUGGACGAGAGUCUGAACCAGCCAAGUAGCGUGAAGGAUGACUGCCCUAUGGGUUGUAAACCUCUUUUAUCAGGGAAGAAUAAAUGCUACGUGUAGCAUGAUGCCUGUACCUUAUGAAUAAGCAUCGGCUAACUCCGUGCCAGCAGCCGCGUUAAUACGGAGGGUGCGAGCGUUCUUCGGAAUUACUGGGCGUAAAGCGCUCGUAGGCGGUAUGUCAAGUCAAGGGUGAAAUCCCCGCGGUCAACGUGGGAACUGCCUUUGAAACUGGCAAACUGGAGUGUGUGAGAGGAUAGUGGAAUGCCAGGUGUAGGAGUGAAAUGCGUAGAUAUCUGGAGGAACAUCAGUGGCGAAGGCGACUAUCUGGCACAUAACUGACGCUGAGGAGCGAAAGCGUGGGUAGCAAACAGGAUUAGAUACCCUGGUAGUC